UACAGAGGGUGCGAGCGUUGUUCGGAAUUAUUGGGCGUAAAGCGCACGUAGGCGGCUUGGUAUGUCGGGUGUGAAAUCCCCGGGCUCAACCUGGGAACUGCAUCCGAAACUGCCUUGCUAGAGUAUGGGAGAGGGAAGUGGAAUUUCCGGUGUAGCGGUGAAAUGCGUAGAUAUCGGAAGGAACAUCAGUGGCGAAGGCGACUUCCUGGACCAAUACUGACGCUCAGGUGCGAAAGCUAGGGGAGCAAACGGG
This 253-nucleotide ribosomal RNA is filed under the name uncultured bacterium. Its description in RNAcentral is "partial 16S ribosomal RNA". It matches the Rfam family "Bacterial small subunit ribosomal RNA", at positions 524 to 776 of the family's 1533-position model. The record is from RNAcentral.